AUGCAGUGACCCACGCAACAAUCUUCUAUUGCAUCAUUUCUCUGCUGCAUGGGCCACGGAAUGCCAUGGGGUCGUGCUGAGUACAACAUAAUCAUUACACUGACAGUGACAGACACACGGUGCGAAAGCUAGCGGGCACGUAAAGAUUUUAUAACUAAGUAUAAGUAUAAGGACUAUCAGCUACAAUCACGCGAGGCGGGGGACAAUAAGAUGAUUAAACUCUUCUUGGCGCCCUUUGCACGUCAGAGUGCGUCUGGCUUCACAAUGUUCAUCGAACUGGGCUUCUCCAUAGUACUAUAAUUAUAAUGCAGUCCAAGACCUCUCCGUACAGCACAUAUCUAUUUUUCCAUCGCAGUCUUUGAAGCUCUGCCCGCUGUUGCACGCACGCGCGUAGACAUUAUUUUGGUCAGAAAUAUUCUACUAUUAGUCGGCUGUCCUAUUCUAUGUCCAUAUCGUGUACGAGAAGGUCUUCCAACUACAGGAGAACUGAAGAUCAAGUUAGUGGACGUCAGUAACAAGCGCGACCACUUAAACUAUGGGCAGCAACACAGGAGACGGCCUACAGUGGCUUCGAGACAUUCGUUCAGAGUAUGCACGGUUUGGUCCACCCAUUCUACCACCGUACCCACUCAGCCGACUCAUCCCCGCAGGAACUGAUCCAGAAAGGGAGGAGGAAAUCCGAAGGGUAGUGCGGGAGAAGAUGUUCGAUUUCAUCGAUGCUCAUCCUGAACUCAACCUCGAGUUUUGCUAUAAGCUUAUACUAGGCACCUACAGGUAAUGAUUGAUCCAGCGCAAUCUACAGAAUGAGCGACGUGGAAGCAAGAGUGUCAUCAGUGCUAUGAAAUGUGUGAACACUGAACGUUUAAGUAGCAUCAUAAUUCCGAACCACGCAAGUUCAUAAAACAUUGAUUGAGAAAAAUCCGCCCUGAAAUAGUACUAGAAAGAGGAUGUAUUCUCGAUUACGUAAUUGUACACCUGGUCAGCAGGAUGGUGACGUGGUUGAAUUUCACACUGCAUGUAAUGAGUCAGUUUUGUUUUGUACUUACUUGUCACACGUUCUUACUUAAAAUCCACCUGGUUAUAUUUCUGAGACACUGUACUCAUAAUUCUAAUCCAUGUGUUGGUUCUUCUCUUUUUAUUCCUUUUCAAUUCAAUUACGUUUCUUUCUCUCUGUGAUGUGCUUACUGAUGGUGGUCACUGAAAAGGGCAAUAGAAGAUGCAUGAAAAUGUUAAGCCCUGCUUCGCGCGCACAAUUGGCUCUUGUGCAUACGUAAUGUUUUGUUACGGAGGUUAGGUUUCACGUCAAAUUGCACUUAACGUCAAAAAUUUAAAACACUCCGGUAAAAUUUGCCGUGCUUUA
This is a long non-coding RNA of Sycon ciliatum, 1360 nucleotides long. RefSeq lists it as uncharacterized. NCBI's taxonomy places the organism in Eukaryota, Metazoa, Porifera, Calcarea, Leucosolenida, Sycettidae. The record is from RefSeq and is a predicted model, not a curated record. The transcript is spliced from 2 exons.